AGUGAACGCUGGCGGUAGGCCUAACACAUGCAAGUCGAACGGCAGCACAGUAAGAGCUUGCUCUUACGGGUGGCGAGUGGCGGACGGGUGAGGAAUACAUCGGAAUCUACUUUUUCGUGGGGGAUAACGUAGGGAAACUUACUCUAAUACCGCAUACGACCUACGGGUGAAAGCAGUGGAUCUUCGGACCUUGCGCGAUUGAAUGAGCCGAUGUCGGAUUAGCUAGUUGGCGGGGUAAAGGCCCACCAAGGCGACGAUCCGUAGCUGGUCUGAGAGGAUGAUCAGCCACACUGGAACGUGGACACGGUCCAGACUCCUGCGGGAGGCAGCAGUGGGGAAUAUUGGACAAUGGGCGCGAGCCUGAUCCAGCCAUACCGCGUGGGUGAAGAAGGCCUUCGGGUUGUAAAGCCCUUUUGUUGGGAAAGAAAAGCAGCAGGUUAAGACCCCGCGGUUCUGACGGUACCCAAAGAAUAAGCACCGGCUAACUUCGUG
Molecule: ribosomal RNA, 492 nt
Filed under: uncultured bacterium
Lineage: Bacteria
Description: partial 16S ribosomal RNA
Rfam family: Bacterial small subunit ribosomal RNA
Source: RNAcentral